Molecule: ribosomal RNA, 729 nt
Filed under: uncultured bacterium
Lineage: Bacteria
Description: bacterial SSU rRNA
Rfam family: Bacterial small subunit ribosomal RNA
Source: RNAcentral
ACACAUGCAGUCGAGCGGUAGAGAGAAGCUUGCUUCUCUUGAGAGCGGCGGACGGGUGAGUAAUGCCUAGGAAUCUGCCUGGUAGUGGGGGAUAACGUUCGGAAACGGACGCUAAUACCGCAUACGUCCUACGGGAGAAAGCAGGGGACCUUCGGGCCUUGCGCUAUCAGAUGAGCCUAGGUCGGAUUAGCUAGUUGGUGGGGUAAUGGCUCACCAAGGCGACGAUCCGUAACUGGUCUGAGAGGAUGAUCAGUCACACUGGAACUGAGACACGGUCCAGACUCCUACGGGAGGCAGCAGUGGGGAAUAUUGGACAAUGGGCGAAAGCCUGAUCCAGCCAUGCCGCGUGUGUGAAGAAGGUCUUCGGAUUGUAAAGCACUUUAAGUUGGGAGGAAGGGCAGUUGCCUAAUACGUAACUGUUUUGACGUUACCGACAGAAUAAGCACCGGCUAACUCUGUGCCAGCAGCCGCGGUAAUACAGAGGGUGCAAGCGUUAAUCGGAAUUACUGGGCGUAAAGCGCGCGUAGGUGGUUUGUUAAGUUGGAUGUGAAAUCCCCGGGCUCAACCUGGGAACUGCAUUCAAAACUGACUGACUAGAGUAUGGUAGAGGGUGGUGGAAUUUCCUGUGUAGCGGUGAAAUGCGUAGAUAUAGGAAGGAACACCAGUGGCGAAAGCGACCACCUGGACUAAUACUGACACUGAGUGCGAAAGCGUGGGGAGCAAACAGGA